Molecule: ribosomal RNA, 437 nt
Filed under: Bacillus sp. Zap6
Lineage: Bacteria; Bacillati; Bacillota; Bacilli; Caryophanales; Bacillaceae
Description: partial 16S ribosomal RNA
Rfam family: Bacterial small subunit ribosomal RNA
Source: RNAcentral
GUGUCNUNANAUGUUGGGUUAAUUCNCGCAAGGNGCGCAAACCCUUGAUNUUANUUGCCANCAUUUAGUNGGGCACUCUAAGGUGACUGCCGGUGACAAACCGGAGGAAGGUGGGGAUGACGUCAAAUCAUCAUGCCCCUUAUGACUUGGGNUACACACGUGCUACAAUGGAUGGUACAAAGGGCUGCAAAACCGCGAGGUUAAGCCAAUCCCAUAAAACCAUUCUCAGUUCGGAUUGUAGGCUGCAACUCGCNUACAUGAAGCCGGAAUCGCUAGUAAUCGCGGAUCANCAUGCCGCGGUGAAUACGUUCCCGGGUCUUGUACACACCGCCCGUCACACCACGAGAGUUUGUAACACCCGAAGUCGGUGAGGUAACCUUUUGGAGCCAGCCGCCGAAGGUGGGACAGAUGAUUGGGGUGAAGUCGAACCAAGGANG